UACAGAGGGGGCAAGCGUUAUUCGGAAUUAUUGGGCGUAAAGGGCGCGUAGGCGGCUUGACAAGUGGCGGGUGAAAUCCCUCGGCUUAACCGAGGAACUGCCUGCCAGACUGUCUUGCUUGAGACCGGGAGAGGUGAGUGGAAUUCCCAGUGUAGCGGUGAAAUGCGUAGAUAUUGGGAGGAACACCAGUGGCGAAGGCGGCUCACUGGACCGGAACUGACGCUGAGGCGCGAAAGCGUGGGGAGCAAACAGGG
Molecule: ribosomal RNA, 254 nt
Filed under: uncultured bacterium
Lineage: Bacteria
Description: partial 16S ribosomal RNA
Rfam family: Bacterial small subunit ribosomal RNA
Source: RNAcentral